RNAcentral lists this ribosomal RNA (588 nucleotides) under uncultured bacterium. RNAcentral describes it as "bacterial SSU rRNA". It matches the Rfam family "Bacterial small subunit ribosomal RNA", at positions 338 to 916 of the family's 1533-position model. The record is from RNAcentral.
CCUACGGGAGGCAGCAGUGGGGAAUUUUGCACAAUGGGCGGAAGCCUGAUGCAGCGACGCCGCGUGGAGGAUGAAGGUCUUCGGAUUGUAAACUCCUGUCGAGUGGGACGAAUGCCGUGAGGGUGAACAGCCCUCGCGGUUGACGGUGCCGCUGGAGGAAGCCCCGGCUAACUCCGUGCCAGCAGCCGCGGUAAUACGGAGGGGGCCAGCGUUGUUCGGAAUCAUUGGGCGUAAAGGGCGCGUAGGCGGCCGAUCAAGUCGGAGGUGAAAUCCCUCGGCUCAACUGAGGAAAUGCCUCCGAUACUGUUCGGCUUGAGUCCUGGAGAGGGUAGUGGAAUUCCCGGUGUAGCGGUGAAAUGCGUAGAGACUGGGAAGAACACCAGUGGCGAAGGCGGCUACCUGGACAGGUACUGACGCUGAAGCGCGAAAGCUAGGGGAGCAAACAGGAUUAGAUACCCUGGUAGUCCUAGCUGUAAACGAUGGGCACUUGGUGUUGCGGGUAUCGACCCCUGCAGUGCCGAAGCUAACGCAUUAAGUGCCCCGCCUGGGGAGUACGGUCGCAAGGCUGAAACUUAAAGGAAUUGACGG